RNAcentral lists this transfer RNA (73 nucleotides) under Stegodyphus mimosarum. It matches the Rfam family "tRNA". Rfam says of the family: Transfer RNA (tRNA) molecules are approximately 80 nucleotides in length. Their secondary structure includes four short double-helical elements and three loops (D, anti-codon, and T loops). Further hydrogen bonds mediate the characteristic L-shaped molecular structure. tRNAs have two regions of fundamental functional importance: the anti-codon, which is responsible for specific mRNA codon recognition, and the 3' end, to which the tRNAs corresponding amino acid is attached (by aminoacyl-tRNA synthetases). tRNAs cope with the degeneracy of the genetic code in two manners: having more than one tRNA (with a specific anti-codon) for a particular amino acid; and 'wobble' base-pairing, i.e. permitting non-standard base-pairing at the 3rd anti-codon position. The record is from Rfam by way of RNAcentral. Lineage: Eukaryota; Metazoa; Arthropoda; Arachnida; Araneae; Eresidae.
GCUUUCAUGGUGUAAUGGUCAGCACACUUAGUCCGUAUUCGAGAGGUCCGAGGUUCGAGUCCCGGCGAGGGCA